AAUAUACACAUAUACUGGGGUUCCUGGUCUUCCAUUUCUCUUUUUAAGACAAUGAACAAGAACUUGGAAUUCUCUGGUAACAUAAUUUCUCUGUAUCCACAGGUGUACUGCAGUGAAUCACUACCCUUGCAUCAUCAUUCAGACAACAAAGAACACUGGAUAUGACUUAAAAUGUUCCUGUAUAUCUGUUGUGAAUGUGAAAAGAAUUACUUAUAUGAGUUUUUUGUCUCUCUUUUUCAGUCUGAGGAGACAGAUUGCUUCAGUUCACCUUUAGCCUGAUACAGAUGCCCACCUAGAACAACAAGAAUCUUAUGUUCACUUGUCUUCUCUUGAUAAUGUCUGCAGACCACUGCUCUGCUAGGUCAUGGAUGACAACAUGUGUUUCCACAUCUUUUGGGAGAAAGGAGGGAAAGAGCUCUGAAUGCAGAUUGCUGCAUAUGCAAUUUUAUAUAUGCAGGUCAUGACCCUGGCCAAGUAAAAAUUGAAAUGUCAGUGAAACAAAAAAAAAAAUCUAUGUUUCAACAGUCUGAUGAUGAAAAGCUCCUUUCUCCAGUUGAAAUAGAAUGAACUGGAUGACUGAAUUCUCCUAAUUCUGUAAUAUUACAUCUGAAUGUCUUCUCCAUAAUGAAGUGAAGGUAAGGUAUUUAUCAAUAAUUACAUUGCACUUCAGGGGUUUUUGAAACUGGCUUAUUUACUCCUGUUCAAGUUUCAAAGCUGUCCAUGUACCAGACUGAAAUUUUUCAGUUAUGUAUUUAUUUGUGGAGGAAUACCAAUCAGGUACAAG
RNAcentral lists this long non-coding RNA (784 nucleotides) under Cyanistes caeruleus (blue tit). Its description in RNAcentral is "lncRNA (ENSCCEG00000008634.1)". Lineage: Eukaryota; Metazoa; Chordata; Aves; Passeriformes; Paridae. The record is from RNAcentral.